GGGGAAUAUUGCGCAAUGGAGGAAACUCUGACGCAGCAACGCCGCGUGAAUGAUGAAGGCCUUAGGGUUGUAAAGUUCUGUCUUCUGGGACGAUAAUGACGGUACCAGAGGAGGAAGCCACGGCUAACUACGUGCCAGCAGCCGCGGUAAUACGUAGGUGGCAAGCGUUGUCCGGAUUUACUGGGCGUAAAGGAUGCGUAGGCGGAUAUUUAAGUCAGAUGUGAAAUACCCGGGCUCAACUUGGGUGCUGCAUUUGAAACUGGAUAUCUAGAGUGCGGGAGAGGUAAGUGGAAUUCCUAGUGUAGCGGUGAAAUGCGUAGAGAUUAGGAAGAACACCAGUGGCGAAGGCGACUUACUGGACCGUAACUGACGCUGAGGCAUGAAAGCGUGGGGAGCAAACA
This 401-nucleotide ribosomal RNA is filed under the name uncultured Clostridium sp. Its description in RNAcentral is "bacterial SSU rRNA". It matches the Rfam family "Bacterial small subunit ribosomal RNA", at positions 356 to 774 of the family's 1533-position model. The record is from RNAcentral. Lineage: Bacteria; Bacillati; Bacillota; Clostridia; Eubacteriales; Clostridiaceae.